This 776-nucleotide ribosomal RNA is filed under the name uncultured Neocallimastigales. Its description in RNAcentral is "partial large subunit ribosomal RNA". It matches the Rfam family "Eukaryotic large subunit ribosomal RNA", at positions 23 to 635 of the family's 3401-position model. The record is from RNAcentral. Lineage: Eukaryota; Fungi; Neocallimastigomycota; Neocallimastigomycetes; Neocallimastigales.
AGAGAGAGACAUGCGCGCAUAUCAAUAAGCGGAGGAAAAGAAACUAACAAGGAUUCCCUUAGUAACGACGAGUGAAGCGGGAAGAGCUCAAAUUUGAAAUCUUCAAGGUUUUACCUUGACGAAUUGUAGUUUAAAGAAGUGUUUUCUGCUGAAGUUUUGGUAAAAGUUCUUUGGAAUAGGACAUCAUAGAGGGUGAGAAUCCCGUAUUUGACCAUUAUUUUCAGCUUUGUGAUACACUUUCAAAGAGUCGGAUUGUUUGGGAAUGCAGUCCAAAAUGGGUGGUAAAUUUCAUCUAAAGCUAAAUAUUGGCGAGAGACCGAUAGCGAACAAGUACCGUGAGGGAAAGAUGAAAAGAACUUUGAAAAGAGAGUUAAACAGUACGUGAAAUUGUCAAAAGGGAAGCGUUUGACACCAGUGUUGUUUUCCUCGAAAAUCAAUUAAAAAUGGCUCGAUUUUGUAUUGCUUGAGACCUUAAAAGCUCACUGUACAUUUUUCGUGUCUUUUUUAAUGCACUUUUCGUUUAACAAGUCAACAUCAGUUUCUUUUGUUGUAAAAGGGUCAUUGGAAGGUGGCUUUCUUUUCGGAGAAAGUGUUUAUAGCCUUUGGCCUCUGCAAUCGAAGAGACUGAGGUCUGCAGCGUAGACUCUUCGGGGUUAGAUACAUUUGUGCUAAGUUAUAGCUUUUUAUAGACAACUUGUUGACUAUAAUUAGUCUUGUAGCUUACUCGCUUAUGCUAUUUUACCUACGCUUAGGAUGUUGAAGAUGUAGCACAUCAU